AAGACACACAAGUAAAUUAAACUAUUCUUAACGUUUGUUCAUGAUCCUAUAUCACGAAACAGACUUUAUUUCCCAACAAAAACCAUCAUAGCCAUAUUAGAACUCCUCCCAGUACCAUUCAAAUAAUAAACUACACUAGUCAUCUUGCAAAUUCAACAUGAGAUUUAUUUACACUUAGGAUGACUACUGACUUUCAACAAAGUAAGGCAAGUCAAGCAACUGAGAUAAGCCUUCUGCUGUAGUACCUAUUCAGUCCCAAAUUAAACACAAGAAAACAAAUUCUAAUAGCUGAAAUAGAAAUCAAUUUAGAAGACCAUGAACUAAGGCUAUGAAAUACCAUACAAUAAGGGGUAGGACUGAAUUCAUAAAGUAAACAAAAAAAAUGUUUUGAACUCUAUUUUUUCAUUUUAUUCUUCAGUUCAAACUUCACAUGAGGGAGAAUGCAUAAGUGUACCUGAAUAACAGCAAAAAUAGAUUAGAAAUCUAGUCUGAACUAAGAUGAAGAAACAGCGGAAGAAAUCAGCAAUGCAAUAGUAUUAGCAACCAAAAUCCAGAUUUCAAAAAUCAGAACACAAAUGAUUCAAAACCAAACUCUUAAUCCAGCAAUGGAAAAGUAGAAACCACAACAAAUCCAAACCAGACUCUAGAAUACCAAAACUCAAACUAUUUUUAACCUUGGAAUGCAAACCAUGAACUUUCAUUGAUUUGAACCAAAUUAUUAGGACCAGAAGAACAAGAAUCCAAAGCAGAAUUUUUGGUAAUUUUCAGAAAAUUCCAAGAAUUCAAAGUUGUUUCAGAUAUAUUUUUAAAGAAGAAGCAGUCGUUUCAGUUUUGGAUGAUUUCUAUCUCUUAAAAUCUACCUUGCUAAAGAAGAAAUGAUGCCUUUAUAGGCAACUUUUUAGGGCAGCCCAAGGACAUCAUAUUUUGCAUUUCGACCCUUUUCGAAUUUUUAUUUUUGCUUAAGAGACCUUAAUUUAUAA
RNAcentral lists this long non-coding RNA (980 nucleotides) under Nicotiana benthamiana. RNAcentral's name for it is "long non-coding RNA (NBEN_LNC002646)". The record is from RNAcentral. Lineage: Eukaryota; Viridiplantae; Streptophyta; Magnoliopsida; Solanales; Solanaceae.